AAACGGCAGAGAGACACUUGUGAGAGAAAUGAUCGUUUAUACUUUGAAUGGAAGGACGUGAGCUAUACCUCCUUUUCACCAGUCAUUUCUAAAUACGCGAACGGAACAUGGUUUUAUUAUCUGGAAUGUGAUAUACGGGAUUUGUGAGGAGAACGCUCAAGAAACCCACACCUUUACACCAAGAUACUGGACGACAUCUGGC
Molecule: long non-coding RNA, 202 nt
Organism: Scomber japonicus (chub mackerel)
Lineage: Eukaryota; Metazoa; Chordata; Actinopteri; Scombriformes; Scombridae
Exons: 3
Source: RefSeq, a predicted model, not a curated record